Molecule: non-coding RNA, 113 nt
Organism: Acanthosepion pharaonis
Lineage: Eukaryota; Metazoa; Mollusca; Cephalopoda; Sepiida; Sepiidae
Source: the annotation of a GenBank genome assembly
UUACGGCCACAUCAUGAUGAAACACCUGUUCCCGUACGAUCACCGAAGUUAAGCCACGUCGAACCUGGUCAGUAACUAGAUGAGUGAUUGCUUGAGAAUACUAGGUGUUGUAA